GUGCCAGCCGCCGCGGUAACACUGGCAGCUCAAGUGGUGGCCGUUUUUAUUGGGCCUAAAGCGUUCGUAGCCGGUUUGAUAAGUCUCUGGUGAAAUCCUACAGCUUAACUGUGGGAAUUGCUGGAGAUACUAUCAGACUUGAGGUCGGGAGAGGUUAGAGGAACUCCCAGGGUAGGGGUGAAAUCCUAUAAUCCUGGGAGGACCACCUGUGGCGAAGGCGUCUAACUGGAACGAACCUGACGGUGAGUAACGAAAGCCAGGGGCGCGAACCGGAUUAGAUACCCGGGUAGUCCUGGCCGUAAACGAUGUGGACUUGGUGUUGGGAUGGCCUCGAGCUGCCCCAGUGCCGAAGGGAAGCUGUUAAGUCCACCGCCUGGGAAGUACGGUCGCAAGACUGAAACUCAAAUAAAUUGGCGG
RNAcentral lists this ribosomal RNA (417 nucleotides) under uncultured bacterium. RNAcentral's name for it is "bacterial SSU rRNA". It matches the Rfam family "Archaeal small subunit ribosomal RNA", at positions 455 to 871 of the family's 1478-position model. The record is from RNAcentral.